ACUGCAUCCUGAUGAUUGAAUCUUAUGCAUAGUUCAUCUGAGGUUACUAGCCCAUGAACGAAACAAAUUCGCAAAUGUCUUUCGCUCCUAUCUGAAAUGCUUA
Molecule: small nucleolar RNA, 103 nt
Organism: Glarea lozoyensis ATCC 20868
Lineage: Eukaryota; Fungi; Ascomycota; Leotiomycetes; Helotiales; Helotiaceae
Rfam family: Small nucleolar RNA snR60/Z15/Z230/Z193/J17
About the family: The members of this family belong to the C/D class of snoRNAs which contain the C (UGAUGA) and D (CUGA) box motifs. Most of the members of the box C/D family function in directing site-specific 2'-O-methylation of substrate RNAs.
Source: Rfam